RNAcentral lists this ribosomal RNA (252 nucleotides) under Triticum aestivum (bread wheat). RNAcentral describes it as "partial small subunit ribosomal RNA". Lineage: Eukaryota; Viridiplantae; Streptophyta; Magnoliopsida; Poales; Poaceae. The record is from RNAcentral.
AUGGCUCUAACCCGAAUCAACACAAGUGUUCUGUGCUUGAUGGCACUUUUGAUGGUUUCAAUCACUUUUUUGUCAUGUGAAGCAUCAGGGAGGAACAUAGGCCUGGAAGACGCCACUUGCGGUGGAUACCAGGAACCCUACGAUCCUUCCCCUUGUCCAAAUGUUAACGCGUGUGAUCACUACUGCAAGCAAGAUGGUAAGGGAAGUGGGACCUGCCGUAAUGGCGCAUGCUGUUGCUCCAAACGUUUGUAG